Molecule: unclassified non-coding RNA, 587 nt
Filed under: Hevea brasiliensis (rubber tree)
Lineage: Eukaryota; Viridiplantae; Streptophyta; Magnoliopsida; Malpighiales; Euphorbiaceae
Source: RNAcentral
GAGAUAACAAAGCUACAGCUAAGCACUUUUGUUUGCGUAGAAAUGGAGAGAAACAAUUGAAACUUAAAAAUCACAAAAGUCCUCAUACCAAGAGUCAACAAGGUACAGUUAUGGACUUAAGUCCUCUAUGCAAACAUGACAGUGAAAAAAUUAACGAUAAAUUCAAAUUUACCAAAUAUGCAAGCAAGAAAAGAAUACAUGGAUUUAGUAUUCUACAACUCUUGGUGGUGCUCAUCAUCGAGAACAUGAUUUUGUGAGAAGAUGAAGAUGAUUAUGUUAUAUUUGUGAUUCAUGUUGCCUAUUGCUAGACCAUGACAAGCAAAGUUGCAUUCUGGAGAACAUUAUCACAUCCAGUAUCAUAGUAUCACUGCAAAAGCCACUAAAGUACAUAACCAAUUGUGCUUUGAGUUAUCCUUUGUUUGUAAAGAGUUCAUCAAUUUAGAAAUCUUUCUGCAGCUACUUCUGCAAAACAAGUGGAUGGGCGCCUUCAAAUGAAAUAAAAUUGAUAUAGCUUCAAACCAUCCCAAGAAUGUAGAUGCCAUCUAAUUUAAAGUCUAACAGAAUGCCUAGAGAAAAACUAGCUAGAC